CGAUGUAGCGUGACCAGUAAUAACAUAGAACAAUAAUAUUAAUAUAGAUAUUUGCAAUUUACAUUAUUUUAAAAAUACUUUGGACUUUCUUCCCUUUUAGUUAGCUCUUUUAUUAUCAAAUGUUAAUGAAGGUUGAAGAUAUCCCAUUAUUCACUAGUUGGCCUCUUUUAAACAUUUUCUUUCCUGCAGUAAUGACAAUGAUAGUGACAGACCUAGAAUUACCAGGGGAGGAAUGUAUGGAAGAAGCUAUCCAUUGAUACUGACAAGCGUGAAGGCAUUGCAUGGAGACUGGCGGAAACAGAGAAAUGAUGAAAAGAUAAGGGCAGCAGAGUUGUGCUUCAUGUACCGUGUCCCGCCUUGAGUCAAUUAGCAGACACAUCAUUGCACAAAGCAAUGGGUCUUCCAAGACUGAAGGAUAUUGGUAUCCAUUUUUUUUUAAAUAAAAAAAACAGCUUAUGUUUCCUUCAUCCAUUAAAAAUGCAAUCCUCUCAGUGGAAGACCCUGGUGAAAACAGCUAGAGGAAAUGUGCAGGUAUUGCGACAAGCCAUCGCUUCCCCCCCUCCCCCAUCUUAUAUUAAUUUGGAGAGUAGACUUGUUUAGUUUGCAUAUAUAUUUGUGAUCUGCUUUUGAAAAGGGAGAAUGGAAUGGAAUAACGUGUUGCCAAGUUUGUGUGUAUGUGUGUGUAUAUCUAAGUGAAGGCUUGUUUUCAAUUUAAAUUAAUAAAUUGAAAUAAAAUCCAAAGAAUGAAAAUUUAAGGGCAAAUGAACAGGAGUUAAACCAGUGUAUUUAAGAACAAAAUUGUUAACAUAAAUUGCAGUAAAUGUCAGCAAUAAGAACUGAGAUUGCACUGGUGGGAUAACUUGGUGGCAGGACAGCUGCAAAAGAUCCCAGGUUUAAGCCCAACAUUUCUAGGAAGACUUUGGAAAAAUAAAACAAAACCCACAAAGCAACAUUUUCCGGAGAGGAUUUAUAAAUUUGUAUUGAAAAAUUGAACUAGAUGGAUGCCUCGUCUCUUAAGCUAUGUUCUUUCUUCACUUUUAGAAUCCUGAGAACUUUGCAAUAUUUUGAUUAUCACAAAUCAUAUUCUUAGUGCGUUAAAAUCCAUCAAUGAGGAAAUGGCUUACUUCGUAACUCAGCAUUAUUCAUAAACACUUUAUAACAAAAUGAUGUUAACAACUUUACUUAAUCUAAGAUUAUGUUACAAUAGCAAAGCAGAAGAGCAGAUAAAUAUUCUUGAAAAGAAUAGAAAAACUUUUGUCAGUCUAAACUGAUAGAACAGAGCCUGGUUAAAACGACCUGAAUAUUUCAGUUUAUAUGGAUGUUCUUUUAAGUAUUUUGGAACCGAAUAAUUGAUGGAUGCUAAAGUCCAAUAACAGUAACUUGACCUGUGCUUAGAAAAAUAUUGUAUUCUAUAAUAGCUGAAGUUUCUAGACCAAAUUCAAGGGCAGCCUUGAAGCACAUUAUUAGACAAAGAGAGGCAGAAUAGGAACUGACAGUAGAGACAGCAGAUUUUAUAUUGGCAAAGAUUUUGCUAACUCACGGAAUCAGCAGAUAAUAUUUCAACUCACCAGAGAAGAAAGGCCAUUUAUGUGUGUUUGAAUAAGGUACUGGAUUGGAAGAUAAGAGUUCUAAUGCUAUUUAACAUAUGGAAGCCAACUGCAUGACUCUGAGCUGACAGGGCAGCCCUUUUUUUCCUGAGGGUGAACAAGAACAGAGAUCGUAGCUUGCAGUUCGAAGAGGUUGCUGGAGAUCAUCAUUCGGAGAGACCUCGGACUUUCAGCUGAACAAAGACUCUGCCUCUGCACUGUCACAGAGCUGAACCAAUAAAAACCAAACUGAUAUUACAAUUUUGAUUUCCCAGAGGGCCUGAAAGGGCUUAAUGUAAGAAUUAUUAUCCAUUGUGAACAGAGGCUGAUAUAGAAGACCCACAGGAUAUGGCAGGGCCGAUUUCUAAAAAUAAAAGGAUCCGUGCUUUCUUUAA
Molecule: long non-coding RNA, 1981 nt
Organism: Crotalus tigris (Tiger rattlesnake)
Lineage: Eukaryota; Metazoa; Chordata; Lepidosauria; Squamata; Viperidae
Exons: 2
Source: RefSeq, a predicted model, not a curated record